CAGUAGCCACGGGAAUACGGAGGGUGCAAGCGUUAAUCGGAAUUACUGGGCGUAAAGCGUGCGUAGGCGGUUCGUUAAGUCUGUUGUGAAAGCCCCGGGCUCAACCUGGGAAUGGCAAUGGAUACUGGCGAGCUAGAGUGUGUCAGAGGAUGGUGGAAUUCCCGGUGUAGCGGUGAAAUGCGUAGAGAUCGGAAGGAACAUCAGUGGCGAAGGCGGCCAUCUGGGACAACACUGACGCUGAGGCACGAAAGCGUGGGGAGCAAACAGGAUUAGAUACCCCGGUAGUCCCUGUCUCUUAUAC
RNAcentral lists this ribosomal RNA (301 nucleotides) under uncultured bacterium. Its description in RNAcentral is "partial 16S ribosomal RNA". It matches the Rfam family "Bacterial small subunit ribosomal RNA", at positions 509 to 807 of the family's 1533-position model. The record is from RNAcentral.